This 489-nucleotide ribosomal RNA is filed under the name uncultured bacterium. RNAcentral's name for it is "partial 16S ribosomal RNA". It matches the Rfam family "Bacterial small subunit ribosomal RNA", at positions 28 to 507 of the family's 1533-position model. The record is from RNAcentral.
GACGAACGCUGGCGGCGUGCUUAACACAUGCAAGUCGAACGGAAAGGCCCCCAUCUUGGUGGGGGUGCUCGAGUGGCGAACGGGUGAGUAACACGUGGGUGAUCUGCCCUGUACUUCGGGAUAAGCUUGGGAAACUGGGUCUAAUACCGGAUGGGACCAUGGUUUAGUGUCUCAUGGUGGAAAGAUUAUUGUUUUGGUGCAGGAUGAGCUCGCGGCCUAUCAGCUUGUUGGUGGGGUAAUGGCCUACCAAGGCGUCGACGGGUAGCCGGCCUGAGAGGGUGGACGGCCACAUUGGGACUGAGAUACGGCCCAGACUCCUACGGGAGGCAGCAGUGGGGAAUAUUGCGCAAUGGGCGCAAGCCUGAUGCAGCGACGCCGCGUGGGGGAUGACGGCCUUCGGGUUGUAAACUCCUUUCGUUAGGGACGAAGCCGCACUUUUUUUGGGUGUGGUGACGGUACCUUUGUUAAGAAGCACCGGCUAACUACGUG